This 1512-nucleotide long non-coding RNA is filed under the name Homo sapiens (human). RNAcentral's name for it is "non-protein coding LINC01936:29". Lineage: Eukaryota; Metazoa; Chordata; Mammalia; Primates; Hominidae. The record is from RNAcentral.
CCCAAAGUGCUGGGAUUACAGACGUGUGCCACCAUGCUCAGCCCCACACUCGUCUUUAAGAAAAUUAAAAUAAAAUUGUUUUAAACACAGUGUCUGGCACAGAAUAGAUGCUCAAUAAACACCAGCUGCUACAAUUAGAGGGGAAAUCAUCAUAAUUGUUGGAUUAAAACAUAAUAAAAGACCCCAGUUGCCUUGUUCAAGGCAGUAUUUUCAGAAGCAAAGUUUUAAAAGUUUAAAAAGAGGUCAGUAUUUUAAGUCAUGUCAGCUCCACAGCCACGGAAGUGCUGGAAAGGCACCAAGCCUCCUCUCGGUUUGCAGUGAAACGCUCCUCUUCCGUCUGAGGGCUAUCGUUCCAGCAGAGAUCAACACAAUGGACUCUGGGAUGGACAUUGUUCUCCAACAGGCCUGGCCCUGGCCCAGCUGGGGUGAGCAUUUCCUUUGCAGCAUUCCAAGAGGCGACAGUCCCAAAAGAUAAUUAAAAAUCAGCUAGCGGUGGUGACCAAGAGAAAGGCACUGAGCCCUCCGAGUGUGGAGAUAGGGCAUCCCGGGUUAUUAAUUAAGUGUGCUCACAUUUGCAUGGUGUAGAGGACAAUUAUCAAGCUGGAGCUGUCAGCUUUAAAUGCUGUUUGCAUUUCUGGAUGACUUUUUGGCGAAGAGGGUCAGGGAGGCUCUCUAAAGUCAUUUUUGGGAGUCUGGAGGAAUAGUUAGCAAUUCGCACUUCACCUCGUUUUACCCUGCAACUCCAUGGAAAUUCCAGAAAGUCUUGGUUUUAAUGGUCUCUUGCAUAGGCCCAUGACAUGGGUCAUCUCUCUCCUACCUCCUUCCAUGCUGAACAAAUGGAAAGGCAUGUAACAUAGUGUGGCAAGGACUUAGGAGUCCAGAAGCUCCCAGAUGUGUGCACCUGUGGAAUCCGCCACCACACCCUCCACACACCAGCCUCUGCAACCAGACAGAGAGAGGAGAGGUAAGGGGUGAGGAUGUGAUUGAUUUCCAUCCUCGGCCCUCCAAGGAGGAGGCUGCCAAAGAAAACAAAGGCCACUGCAGGGGGGCAGCUCGUGGUGACAACCUGCACUGGGGCCGGAGGGCAGCCAGCAUGGCACCUGGAUCUGAUCAAGAUGAAGUUUUCAUCCCCAUCUGCCUGUUAAUGUCUUCUUUACCAGUUGCCACCCCCUAAUAAGGGGUAUGCCGUAGACUGGAAGUCACUAGGGACCUGCCCAGCAUCCUGUUCUAGGCAUUGACUAAUCCACUCUCCUACAUCCUGCCUCCCAUCCACAUGGUCCAAUCAGAGGCUGCCAUGCUUGCACAAUGUGACACUGUCUCUAUGGACACAUUAAUUGGUCCUGAUGUAGAACUUGACCCAAGAUCAGGGUCAAGUUGAGAGAAGACUUAUUUUCUUUCCAGGUGUUUCAAUAACAUGUAAAACUUGGAAUUCGAUAGCAGCCAUCUUCUGCCAUGAGAAUUGGGAAGAGAGAAAGCCUAUAGUGAUAAUAAAGUCAAAUUAUCCUAAACGCU